Molecule: ribosomal RNA, 453 nt
Filed under: uncultured soil bacterium
Lineage: Bacteria
Description: bacterial SSU rRNA
Rfam family: Bacterial small subunit ribosomal RNA
Source: RNAcentral
AGAGCGAACGCUGGCGGCAGGCCUAACACAUGCAAGUCGAACGGACUCUUCGGAGUUAGUGGCGGACGGGUGAGUAACACGUGGGAACGUGCCUUUAGGUUCGGAAUAGCUCCUGGAAACGGGUGGUAAUGCCGAAUGUGCCCUUCGGGGGAAAGAUUUAUCGCCUUUAGAGCGGCCCGCGUCUGAUUAGCUAGUUGGUGAGGUAAAGGCUCACCAAGGCUACGAUCAGUAGCUGGUCUGAGAGGAUGACCAGCCACAUUGGGACUGAGACACGGCCCAAACUCCUACGGGAGGCAGCAGUGGGAAUAUUGCACAAUGGGCGCAAGCCUGAUGCAGCAACGCCGCGUGAGGGACGACGGCCUUCGGGUUGUAAACCUCUUUAGUAGGAAGAAGCGAAAGUAGACGGUACCUGACAGAAAAAGACAACCGGCUAACUACGUAGCCAGCAGCCGC